GAUGAACGCUAGCUACAGGCUUAACACAUGCAAGUCGCGGGGCAGCAUGGGGGUUGCUUGCAAUCCCCGAUGGCGACCGGCGCACGGGUGAGUAACGCGUAUCCAACCUGCCCUUCACCACGGGAUAACCCGGCGAAAGUCGGACUAAUACCGUAUGUUGUCCAUUGACGGCAUCCGAUUUGGACGAAAGGCUUGGCGGUGAGGGAUGGGGAUGCGUCCGAUUAGCCAGACGGCGGGGGAACGGCACACCGUGGCUACGAUCGGUAGGGGUUCUGAGAGGAAGGUCCCCCACACUGGAACUGAGACACGGUCCAGACUCCUACGGGAGGCAGCAGUGAGGAAUAUUGGUCAAUGGGCGUAAGCCUGAACCAGCCAAGUAGCGUGCAGGAUGACGGCCCUAUGGGUUGUAAACUGCUUUUAUGCGGGGAUAAAGUGGCCCACGUGUGGGCUUUUGCAGGUACCGCAUGAAUAAGGACCGGCUAAUUCCGUG
Molecule: ribosomal RNA, 490 nt
Filed under: uncultured bacterium
Lineage: Bacteria
Description: partial 16S ribosomal RNA
Rfam family: Bacterial small subunit ribosomal RNA
Source: RNAcentral